UCAUUAAAUCAGUUAUGGUUCCUUAGAUCGUACCCACAAUUACUUGGAUAACUGUGGUAAUUCUAGAGCUAAUACAUGCAAACAGAGCUCCGACCGGAGACGGAAGGAGUGCUUUUAUUAGAUCAAAACCAAUCGGUGGCGGGUUCGCCCGUUAUCGUACAACUUGGUGACUCUGAAUAACUUUACGCUGAUCGCACGGUCAUCGCACCGGCGACGCAUCUUUCAAAUGUCUGCCUUAUCAACUGUCGAUGGUAGGUUCUGCGCCUACCAUGGUUGUAACGGGUAACGGGGAAUCAGGGUUCGAUUCCGGAGAGGGAGCCUGAGAAACGGCUACCACAUCCAAGGAAGGCAGCAGGCGCGCAAAUUACCCACUCCCGGCACGGGGAGGUAGUGACGAAAAAUAACGAUACGGGACUCAUCCGAGGCCCCGUAAUCGGAAUGAGUACACUCUAAACCCUUUAACGAGGAUCAAUUGGAGGGCAAGUCUGGUGCC
RNAcentral lists this ribosomal RNA (493 nucleotides) under Trigonopterus sp. 607 MB-2015. RNAcentral's name for it is "SSU rRNA". It matches the Rfam family "Eukaryotic small subunit ribosomal RNA", at positions 98 to 568 of the family's 1831-position model. Lineage: Eukaryota; Metazoa; Arthropoda; Insecta; Coleoptera; Curculionidae. The record is from RNAcentral.